RNAcentral lists this ribosomal RNA (478 nucleotides) under uncultured bacterium. Its description in RNAcentral is "partial 16S ribosomal RNA". It matches the Rfam family "Bacterial small subunit ribosomal RNA", at positions 28 to 523 of the family's 1533-position model. The record is from RNAcentral.
GACGAACGCUGGCGGCGUGCUUAACACAUGCAAGUCGAACGGUAAGGCCCUUCGGGGUACACGAGUGGCGAACGGGUGAGUAACACGUGGGUGAUCUGCCCUGCACUUCGGGAUAAGCCUGGGAAACUGGGUCCAAUACCGGAUAGGACCACUGCCUGCAUGGGUGGUGGUGGAAAGCUUUUGCGGUGUGGGAUGGGCCCGCGGCCUAUCAGCUUGUUGGUGGGGUGAUGGCCUACCAAGGCGACGACGGGUAGCCGGCCUGAGAGGGUGACCGGCCACACUGGGACUGAGAUACGGCCCAGACUCCUACGGGAGGCAGCAGUGGGGAAUAUUGCACAAUGGGCGCAAGCCUGAUGCAGCGACGCCGCGUGAGGGAUGACGGCCUUCGGGUUGUAAACCUCUUUCAGCAUCGACGAAGCGAAGGUGACGGUAGGUGCAGAAGAAGGACCGGCCAACUACGUGCCAGCAGCCGCAGUAA